ACCGCCCAUGACCACCACCCGUAAUGGCGGCUGCCGGUAGCGACUCACCGACACCCCGUAAUGGCGACUGCCAAUAGCCACCCGACGGCAGCAAGCUACAAAAGCUUCUCAGCUUGAAAAAGUUUUUCGGGACUGCCGUGCAAAGAGCGGCUGCCUGCAGCCGUGAGUGCCGUGUCGAAUCUACUGCUGUAGCGAAUCUGCCAGCUGCUGCGGUGCCUUCUUACCGCGAUCGCCGGGUCUGUUUAUCGUCCGGAAUGCAGCCCCCCCCCCCCCCACCGCGCCCCCGCGUCCCCGCCGCCGACAGCAUGCGAUGAAGGACAGAGGCUUUUAGCUUUCAACCGGUAAAAGACGCUACUGAAGGUACAGAGGGAAAGGACAGACGGCAGAAGUGACCGCGCCAGACAGCUCGGAAUCCCCCCCCCCCUUCCCGCGGCUCGGCGGAGCAGUCUCCAGAUCCGCCCCCCUUCACCGUCGCAGCCCGCCGCGCCCCCGCCCACCCCAUCUCCAGCGGACCACAUCCUGCAGCCGAGAGGUCUCCUAAUUAAUGUAAGUCCGCAUGAACUGUCUGAACACACCUCUUUUGAACACUAUAAAAAUGCUGCAUUAGCCUUAAUUGAGAGCCCUUCGUCCUCCUGCUCUCCUUCUGAAUGAUACCCUGCCUGCAUACGCAUCACUCAGCAUUCGCACCGCAGCAUUGAAUUUACGGCCAGUUCGGGACGGCACGAACUCGGCAGCACCUGAUUCUCGUUAGCCUCAGAAAGCAAGGGCUCAACUCGGCCCAGAAUCGCAGAGGCUCGAACAACGCACCUUGAAUUCAUAAAUACUCUAAGAAUCUUCUCUGAACUGCAUUUGGACAGUGAGUAACCGACAAACUCUUUAUUUAGAGACUGAAUAAUCUCUCAAGAUUCAAAUGAACUCUCCUAAAAUCACAGACUCUCUUCAUUUUAGCCAUUCUCUAUUUUAAUCUGCAACCGUGAACCAAGAACUUACGUGGGAUAGUUAUAAAUAAGUUUGGGGAAGGGGAUUUCUAGUGUUUAGUAAUAAAUCAUUUAAACUUUCUUUUAUA
This is a long non-coding RNA of Pogoniulus pusillus (Red-fronted tinkerbird), 1066 nucleotides long. RefSeq lists it as uncharacterized. The record is from RefSeq and is a predicted model, not a curated record. The transcript is spliced from 2 exons. Lineage: Eukaryota; Metazoa; Chordata; Aves; Piciformes; Lybiidae.